GGGAGGGUGGCCGAGCGGACGAAGGCGGCGGUCUUGAAAACCGCUAGGGGAGCGAGUCCCUCCAGGGUUCGAAUUCCACCCUCCCGCCA
This 89-nucleotide transfer RNA is filed under the name Actinomycetota bacterium. RNAcentral describes it as "tRNA-Ser". It matches the Rfam family "tRNA". From Rfam's summary of the family: Transfer RNA (tRNA) molecules are approximately 80 nucleotides in length. Their secondary structure includes four short double-helical elements and three loops (D, anti-codon, and T loops). Further hydrogen bonds mediate the characteristic L-shaped molecular structure. tRNAs have two regions of fundamental functional importance: the anti-codon, which is responsible for specific mRNA codon recognition, and the 3' end, to which the tRNAs corresponding amino acid is attached (by aminoacyl-tRNA synthetases). tRNAs cope with the degeneracy of the genetic code in two manners: having more than one tRNA (with a specific anti-codon) for a particular amino acid; and 'wobble' base-pairing, i.e. permitting non-standard base-pairing at the 3rd anti-codon position. The record is from RNAcentral. Lineage: Bacteria; Bacillati; Actinomycetota.